Molecule: long non-coding RNA, 591 nt
Organism: Danio aesculapii
Lineage: Eukaryota; Metazoa; Chordata; Actinopteri; Cypriniformes; Danionidae
Exons: 6
Source: RefSeq, a predicted model, not a curated record
GAAAGGACAACUCUCACAUUAGUGCAUUACUAAUUGUUUGACUUCAUCAUCAAGCACACCAGGUGGUGCGGUGGUACAGUGGAUAGCGCUGUUGCCUCCCAGCAAAAAGAUUUCUGGUUCGAGCCUCGACUGGGUCAGUUGGCAUUUCUGUGUGAAGUUUGCAUGUUCUCCUCGUGUUGGCUUGGGUUUCCUCCGGGUGCUCCGGUUUCCCCCACAAGACAUGCGGUACAGGUGAAAUGGAUUGUGAUGGACCUGGAAUGUUACACCAGUUACUCUUAAGUCAAGAACCAAAUGAAGCACACUUUUCCAGAGUACAGAUUAUGGAAGUAUCUGCAGCUAACUGGAAGCAGGGAACCAUACUAAUAAAGUUCAUUUAGUGAAAUAUUGGACCAGAUGUUCCAUAAAGCGGAUGGGAAAACCUUGUCCUCUGAAGUGGACGUCAAAGUAGACCCUGCAUCAUUUGUGUGGUUCCUUGUAAAGAUGAACCCAGAGAAGGAUCGAAAGUGAAGAAGACCAGAUCAAGAAAGACCACAUCAAGAUCUGUGGUCAGUUCAAAGGAUGUUUUGCAUUGGACUGUUUUUUAUGGCUUUG